GCCACCAAUUGGAAAGAAGAAGUUUGAGACUCUCUCUUACCUUCCUGACCUUACCGAAGUUGAAUUGGCUAAGGAAGUUGACUACCUUCUCCGCAACAAGUGGAUUCCCUGUGUUGAAUUCGAGUUGGAGGUAAUAAAAAUCGAAAAUCAUAUACAUAAAUAUUUAGAGUAGCUUGACCAUAUGAAUCUUGCAACGAUCUUAAAACUGUUUAGAGGUCCUAUGCAGAAUCUUGAUUUAUAUGUACAUAUUUGAAAUGUUCUUGAAUGGUUUUUGUAAUGUGUUUUGUAGAACGGGUUUGUGCACCGUGAGCACGGAAGCACUCCCGGAUACUACGAUGGACGUUACUGGACAAUGUGGAAGCUUCCUUUGUUCGGAUGCACUGACUCAGCUCAAGUGUUGAAGGAAGUGCAAGAGUGCAAGAAGGAGUACCCCCAGGCCUUCAUUAGGAUCAUCGGAUUCGACAACACCCGUCAAGUCCAGUGCAUCAGUUUCAUCGCCUACAAGCCACCAAGCUUCACCGAUGCUUAAGUCACUUUCUCUUAAAUCAUUCAUAUAAUAUUCUCAUUUGCAUUUCCAAUUGU
RNAcentral lists this long non-coding RNA (582 nucleotides) under Eutrema salsugineum. Its description in RNAcentral is "long non-coding RNA (ESAL_LNC001577)". Lineage: Eukaryota; Viridiplantae; Streptophyta; Magnoliopsida; Brassicales; Brassicaceae. The record is from RNAcentral.